CUCUGUUCACCCUGGCUUGGCCUCAGCAGAGCAAGCACAGGAGGACACCAGACACCAAGAUGUCAAUCAUUGUUAUAAUGGGGGCUGUUGCUGUAAGGCCCAAACCUGCAGUCUGCACUCAGCUCCCCCGCCUGUCCUUGGAAGUACUAAUUGCUGCCUUGAGGACACAAAGCGGCUCCCCUAUGUGUCCCCCUCUAGGGAAGCUGAGGCACAGCGAGAGGAAAUGACCUGCUUGCCGCAAGCUGAUGCCAGAGCAAGACCCGGAGCCCCGCGCUUCCCAAGUCCCAGCCCAGUGCUCAGGCUGUGAGUGAUGCAGCCGCAAGCCAAAGAUCCUGCUCACCCUGUGACGGUUGGAGCUGAGGCUCCCUGCACUCCUGCAUCACAGGCCCUGCUGGCUUCAUCUUCCAGCUGUGCAGCCCCAGUGCAAGUGGCAUCAGAUGUGGGAGCGACAGCAGCCAAGGCCACCUCAGGCAACAGCCAUUCCUUCUGCCCAUGUGUGCCACAAGGAGGAGGAUGGGGAAGGAGACAGGUGCUCACAGGGGGGAAUCUUGCCUUGUUGUCCAGGAGCCUGAUGCCCAAGGACAGAGACCCAGGCAAGCAGAGAUCAAGGAGAAGCCUUUUUGGCACGACUGAGGGAGACAACACUGCCUGCCUAUCAUUGUCUUCUUUGCAUUCAGCUCUCUGGACCAGCAGCUGCACCUUUAGCACCACCUACACAAGGACCAUGCAGCGAAUGCCACCCUUGUGAUGGAGGAGGCCUAAGAGACAGCAACAGGUGAGGUGCCCUCUGGUGUUCCCACUCCCUCCUGGGGUGCUGCCAGCACUUGAUCUUGGCUUCCUGGGGUGACCUAUGCAAGGGCCAGAGGUCUGGGUCCAGUCCCAUUUGCCCUCAGCACUGCUCUGCCUGCCCUGCUCUUUCUCAUCCGUGAGGCCAGGGGAAGAUCUGCCCGAGGAAGGAGCUCCUUCAUCCCCAGCUCGGCUCCCGGUGACCUUACAGCACGUACUACCGAGGUCAGCCCUGCCCAGACCAUUCCUCCAUUUCCGAGGGCUCUGAAUUACUGUCCAGCUGUUCUCCCAGCCAGAGGCUGAACCAUCAGGGCUGCUGCCUGUUGUUCUCCAGGCAGCUCUUGCUCUCUCCUGGCCUAGCAGGUGGGACAUUAGCACAUGUGGACUGUGAAGCUGGACUCACCACUUCUGUGCCCAGCUCAGACCUGGGGUGACAGCUGGGGCAGUCACAAGCAGCAGCUCCCAGCAGAUGCCCCAUGGGCUGGACUGUUAGGAGCAGCGUGGACGUCUGGCAGCUGUGGGGGCUGCAGGCGCUGUAUACCCUGGGCACAUUUCUGAAGGCAGGGGCUGUAAGAAGAAGCAGCCAAGUGGUGGAGGACUUUGCUCUUGGCAGCUGCCAGAGACUCAUGCCUCAGGAUCUGGGAAUGUGAGCAGCUUGCCACAGCUGAUCACAUGUCCCAGGUUUAGGGACUGGUAGGAACACGCAGUUUAAAGGUUAGACCACAGGACAGAGCACCUGCACCCUCCUGCCACCUCUGAAGCAGGCUCCCUGGAUGGCCUUUUAUGAACCAACCCCCCUUGCUGGACAGAUCCAGACUCUCCAGGCACCCAAAUAGGGGCAGCUGAGCUCCCAGCAGCUAGUCAUGCUGGAAAAUCAGGCUUCUGCUCCUCCGAGUGAAACUGGGAGUCGUGUUGGUCCCUGAAGCCAGGGGUACCAGGAGACCCAGUCCACUCCUGCUUAGUCACUGAGAUCCUCUAUGGUGAGGUGCCAGCAAAGCGCUAGGUGCCAUUGCUCCUGACGGUGAUAAAGCAAGCCACGCUUGCUACCACAUGCAAGCUGGGGAGAGCUUCGUACGCACUGUACUUCCAAGGUUUGGACUGACGUGUUCCCAGCCACAAGGAGCCAAUGAGUAAUUCUGUAGGUGGCACAUGUUGCUGUGCCAGGGGCUUUGGCUGGAUUACUCAUACUUACUACAGACACACGACUAAGAACAGCUGGGAGCUUAACUUCAGAAGCAGCAAAAUGGUACGGGGGUGUCAGAGAAGAAGUGGUGUCUGAUUUAAGACCUGGUCUCUGACCCUCAGCUCUUUGCAGGUGGCUUAGUGCCAGCCCUAUAUCCAGGUGGGCUGUGCCCUUUGAGCAGUGCUGCCUGUUUCAAUGCCAAACCAUCUGCAGGAUCCAGGCCCGUGUUUGCUCUUCCUCAGUACUAGAAGACCUGUUCUUAGACCCAAGAAACUUGCUGCAAGACCCAAGAAACUUGUUGCAGAGACUGUGCUCUUCAAGCAGGGGAUUCUGGAAAAUGUCCUUCUCAGAUGCAGGACGUGAUGGGGGAUCAGGUGAGUAGAGGUCAUGCGACUGCCUGGAGGGACUAUAUCGAGCAGGCCUCUGGGUACCUCCAGAAACAGUUAGGUUGGGUUGGUGGUUGGGUUUAGAGGCUUAUUGUGAGUGGAGCUGUAAGCCCAUUAAUAAACCAAGUGGGUGAAGGGGGAAUUUAAUUUGGAAGCCUCAGCUAUGCACAGCUCACUUUAUAGAAAGGAAACUGGGCCCUGGCCAAACCAGAGAGUGGGAAGGAGGGAGGCUGACCUUAUUGUACCUCUGUGCCCAUAGCUCUCUCUGAAGUCAUAGAGAUGUAGGGCUGGAAGGAGCCUCCUGAGCCGGGGCAUCUGCUAGUAUAGUGUACCCACCUCAUCUCUGGCUUGGAGCUAUAAUAAGCUCUGUCUUUAAAAUUAGCGCCCUUCCUGGCACAUGGUUCCUUCUGGGAGGAGAUUCCAGAACCUCCUUGCCCGGAGAGUAAGAAACUUUCUUCAGUUUCCAGCCUAAAUUCAAUCCUGGCCAGUUUAUGCAGACUAGAACUGCUCUGCUCUUUUGCUGGUGUUCAGCUCCCUGCUUUACUUGGAGAGAGGGAGCGCCGUACAGGAAGCUAGUUGGAGCCCGCAUGUCUCCUGAGAGCCCUGUCCAUCCCUGGGCGCUCUUUAUGUAAGAUGGAGGACUGGCUCCUGAGCUUCCCAGCUGUGAUAAGUCCAUGCAGCUCUAUUGACGCUACCGGAGCUCUAUUGAUGUCACGUUAAGGCUGUGCUGCUCAAGCUAUUUUAAGCAUUUUGGUUGUAUUUUAAAAAAAAAUCUUCCCAAUGGUAAUAUUUUUAACUCUCUUGUUGCUCAAAGCAGGUUUCAGUGGAGUGGUGGGCAGUUCCCAAGUGACUCAACUGUAAUUGGUGUGCUGGGUCCUGGGGCAUUUUUGGUGGUGGGGCUGAUGCAGUGGGGAAAAGCCAAGGCAUUGGAGUUUAAGUUCUGAUGUGAUCUCUUUCCCUUUCUUCCACUGACUCUGAAUAUAAGGAUUUACUGCUCCUGAGCGACAGAUUUAGCCACAGAUGAGAGGGCAAGGGGUCCAGAGGAGGCAGCGGGGCUCCACAGGUCAAUGGUGUGCACGGGAAAGACCAAUGGGGCUGGGAUGAGUGUUGCUAUGCUGCCAAAACUCACUUCUUUAGGUGGCUAAAUGCCCAAGGGUCACCAGGGUCUGCUAGGCAGGGAAGCCCUCAGCUUCAGGGGCAAACAUGUGAUCCCUUCAGGGCCGUGGUGCUUUCCUCUGCCUCUUGAUCUCAGUGGGUUGGAGGUCCCCACUCUGGGUGGGUCUUUGGAGCCUAGUGCCUGGGGCUGCUUUUGUAGGACACAAUUAAAGGUUGAUGCAGUUUAGGAUGGUGAGGCCAUGAUGGUAAGACAGCUGCCAAGAUGCAAGGUGUUUGGGUGGUGGAAGUGGGGAGGUAGUGUCUCAGAGCCCUGGGUUCUGGUUGGCCUCUUGUGACUCCUGCGUCCACGCGUACAGGCAAGGGGAUCUUUGAAGACCAAACAGGUACUCGCUCCUGGGUCCGAGGGCUUCCCACUGCUUUAACCUCCUCGAGUGCUGCCAGUGCCACUUCUAGGAUCACUUCAUCACUCAUCCUGUAACCCCAGUGGCUUCAGAUGGGAUGAGGGAAGAGCUGGGCUUCUCUGUCUGCUGCAAGUUGCACCGAUUUCAGAGCUCCCUGCCUGCUCCCUCUCUGAUACCCAAGGUCUCUCCUGCAUAAGCUUGGCUCCAAACUGAAGACUGAGCAAGGAGCAUGUGGAGCCUCCAGUGGCACUAGAGACCCAUCACUGGUUUCAGUAAUACUUUUGUCAGGCCCAUGACCCUACCUGCUGGAUACCUGGGCACUUACCGUUAGGGCUGACCCUCCAUUUGCAGUGGGUGGCUUAACCCCUGCCAGCACAAUGACCCUGGCACGACUUCCUGAGCCACAGACAGUGUCAUUCUGUUUUCAUACAGCACUGAGCAAAUACUCGGUCUCUAGGCAUAGGAGAAGGAAAUAGGCACUAUGUGAACCAUAGGUCUGAAAAGUCUUGCUGCCAGGUCGCCAUGCCUUGCAGGGUUAAUUGAGAUAUAAAUGGUACCUAAGCCUCUUGCCGGUCCUCCAAAUGGGAUGGCUGUCCAGCCCAGCCCACAUGAAGCAAACUGAUGCCACCCACCUAGGGCUAUACACAUGGGGCCAGGCCCUGUGGCAUGCUGAGCCCUUGCCUCCCCUGCUGACUGGUGCGGCUCAAAGCCCUUCUGGGAUUUGCUUGCGAGUGGUUUGGAGUCCUUGGAACCGUUGCCUUUCCCUCGAGAACAGACCACGGCUGCCUGGUCUGGAGUUCACAGCUGUCCUGCCCUUCCUAUUCUGCUUGUGGGGAGUCUCAUCCUGACUGGCCAGGCAGGAGCUCCAAAGGGUCUUUGGUAUGGUAAUGCUGGGAACUGCUCCCCUGGACAAUGCCACAUGCCCCGCUGGCUCCAUCUGCUUCCAGCUUGGCCCCGAGAUCCAGCCGCAGAGUGUUGAGGCCCAUCCUUCUCACGUAAAUAAACAGCUAUAAAUAAGGAGAGAGCCAGAGGUGCGAAAACUGCCAGGAGCAGAUUUCAGAAAACCAAUAAAUUAGUCUGGAAAAACAAAGGUUAUGAACUAUCAUCCGUUCUCCAAGCUAAGGGGCAGAGCCUCCCUUUCCCGAUGAAUGAUGAGGGGUCAAAGCUGCGUACCAGGAGCAGGGCUGGGCUGGCUGUAUCUAUCACAGGCUAAAGAUCUCUUCUGCUGCCUCCUGGCUCUGGUUGCAUUAAUACACUGACAGUCAUGUUCUGAGAAUAGGGACAAGAACCCAAGUGAACAUGCAAAGAGGAACCAGAUUCUGGGAAAGAAGUUGUUUGUUGAGUGAUCCUGCAACAGACUAUCGUGGUGCUAAUGAUGUGUGCCAGUAUCAAUAAAGCAUCAGCACUCUUCUGGCUCCCCCCUAUCUUGUGCCUUGGAAUUUCUCUCUGCAUGUUUGGCUUCCCCUUUGGAAGCGUGGUGUUUACCUCGCCGAAGCAGGCUUGGGAACAGUUGCUAGGAAAGAUGCUGGAUAAGACUGGAACAUCUGAUCGGCUGCUGUUGUAAGUCCGGGGCCUUUUGUACAGUCCUGAAGACAGUAGGCACUCAGGGCAGUGCCAGGGCAGGAAGGGGACUAAAGGCAUUAUGUAUUUCAGAGCCAACAGCCUGGCCCUCCAAAAUGCAGAGUAUCCCUGACCCUGUGCGAAGUCCUUCACCUCCUGAAAUGCGAGUUCAGGGCUGCUGGCUGCCCAAUGCCCUCCAGUGGCAUGAACUGUCCCUGUAAAACAUGUGCGCAAAGCACUUCUAUCCCAAGCUGCCCUGGACACUAAGCUGAAUCAGUAGAGUGUGGAGGGUAGGAAAAAGAGACAAGAAACCCUUGUAGAAAGCUAAAUCACUCCAGGCCUGACCUGAAGCUACUGAGGUCGAUGGAGAGAGCCCCAUCGACCAUGAUAAGCUGUGGAUCAGCCCCUCGGUGCUGGAGACGAGCAUAUUUGCAAGCUUUCACUUCAGCCCUUGGGACAAAGAGCUGAGUCAGACUUUUAUAAGGGCUCGGAUUUUGCUGGGAAAGCAAAUGGCCUAGAAGUUUAUGCAAACUUGGGUUAGGCUGGGAGGAAGCCUCUGUCAGUCUCUGCUGGCCUGGGGGGAUCUCUCUAUGGAGCCAGCAUCAGGCCACAGGGGUGCUUGGGUCCCAACGAGCAGGAUUAGAAGCAGCAGAAAAUACGUUGUACUCGCCUCGUCCUGCCUGAUGAGUCUUUCAGCACUCAAAAUGCAACGACAAGUCUCCUGGAAGGAACUUUUUGCUGCCCGUUUCCAGCAUCACAAGAGGAGGAAAAAACAAAGCUGGAAGAACAGCCUCUGCAAUGCAAACCUGAUUGCAAAGUGUCCACGUGCCCAGCAUGGGCACUGCAACCACAAGGCAGAAAGCUGGUGUUCAGACCAGGGCAGGGAGCUGCAGUCAUUUGCUCCUCCCAGGCUGGGUGAGGGGCUCCCCGAGCCUGUCUUCUCACUACCUCCCCCUGACUUCUCCUGACUCCCUUCAGCUGCCACAGUUGUUCUGUGAGGAAGGUCAUUGACCCGCUUAAGGGUGUGGGCAAAGGAAGGCAAGUCUACGGGCUCCAGCAUCCUUAGGGUCAGGGUUGGAGGGAGCAGAGGAUAUGGGCUGCUCCUCAUGGUCCUACUUCCCUUCCUUCCACCAAGUGUGCAAAGGGACGUGGCCCCUAGUGAGAUGCUGGCCUCUCCACCACACACGCUCUCUGCUUCCCUUCCGCUCCUUUUAUUUCCCACGGUCGGGUUGUUUGUAUUGCAGUCAUGCCUAGGGGAACCUCUCUGCGCUAGGAGCUGUACGUGCAUCUAGCGAGAGCCAGUCCGUGCCCUGAAGAGCUUCACAUCUAAACAAGCAAGAGGGACACAGGGUGUCGGAAGGGACGGGCUGCCACCUCCCUUUCCUAGCCAGGGCACUGAGAGGGAGAGAGGAAGAGAUGGGUUUUCGCUUGGUCCCUAUUGAAGCGGUCAGGUCCUCCAGAGACCCGGCUCUUCUGACACUCUGCCCAGGAAGGAGCCGCGGGGUGCUGAGCGCACCUGGAAAGCCUGGCCGGAGGUGACUUGCCUAGGGCCUCCUGGGGGCAGAGGCAGAGCCGAGAGCUGCCUCGGUCGCCCCUCUCCGGCCCGUAACUGCCGCCCUGAUCUCUGCCCAACGUGACGUUGUGCAGUCGAAGAUGCCCUCCCAGCUCGCUGGGCAAGGCCACGUUGGCAGAGACAUCGGGGUCUGAG
Alligator mississippiensis (American alligator) is the source of this 7140-nucleotide long non-coding RNA. RefSeq lists it as uncharacterized. Lineage: Eukaryota; Metazoa; Chordata; Crocodylia; Alligatoridae. The record is from RefSeq and is a predicted model, not a curated record. The transcript has 3 exons.